RNAcentral lists this transfer RNA (72 nucleotides) under Bos taurus (domestic cattle). It matches the Rfam family "tRNA". Rfam says of the family: Transfer RNA (tRNA) molecules are approximately 80 nucleotides in length. Their secondary structure includes four short double-helical elements and three loops (D, anti-codon, and T loops). RNAcentral also lists the same sequence under 5 other names. Lineage: Eukaryota; Metazoa; Chordata; Mammalia; Artiodactyla; Bovidae. The record is from Rfam by way of RNAcentral.
UUCCUUGUGGCUCAGCUGGUAAAGAAUCCACCUUCAAUGUGGGAAACCUGGGUUCGAUCCCUGGUUGGGAAG